GAUGAACGCUGGCGGCGUGCCUAAUACAUGCAAGUCGAGCGAACGGACGAGAAGCUUGCUUCUCUGAUGUUAGCGGCGGACCGGUGAGUAACACGUGGAUAACCUACCUAUAAGACUGGGAUAACUUCGGGAAACCGGAGCUAAUACCGGAUAAUAUUUUGAACCGCAUGGUUCAAAAGUGAAAGACGGUCUUGCUGUCACUUAUAGAUGGAUCCGCGCUGCAUUAGCUAGUUGGUAAGGUAACGGCUUACCAAGGCAACGAUGCAUAGCCGACCUGAGAGGGUGAUCGGCCACACUGGAACUGAGACACGGUCCAGACUCCUACGGGAGGCAGCAGUAGGGAAUCUUCCGCAAUGGGCGAAAGCCUGACGGAGCAACGCCGCGUGAGUGAUGAAGGUCUUCGGAUCGUAAAACUCUGUUAUUAGGGAAGAACAUAUGUGUAAGUAACUGUGCACAUCUUGACGGUACCUAAUCAGAAAGCCACGGCUAACUACGUG
Molecule: ribosomal RNA, 497 nt
Filed under: uncultured bacterium
Lineage: Bacteria
Description: partial 16S ribosomal RNA
Rfam family: Bacterial small subunit ribosomal RNA
Source: RNAcentral